RNAcentral lists this ribosomal RNA (475 nucleotides) under uncultured organism. RNAcentral's name for it is "partial 16S ribosomal RNA". It matches the Rfam family "Bacterial small subunit ribosomal RNA", at positions 333 to 799 of the family's 1533-position model. The record is from RNAcentral.
ACACUCCUACGGGAGGCAGCAGUGGGGAAUAUUGCACAAUGGGCGCAAGCCUGAUGCAGCCAUGCCGCGUGUAUGAAGAAGGCCUUCAGGUUGUAAAGUACUUUCAGCGGGGAGGAAGGCAAUACGGUUAAUAACCGUGUUGAUUGACGUUACCCGCAGAAGAAGCACCGGCUAACUCCGUGCCAGCAGCCGCGGUAAUACGGAGGGUGCAAGCGUUAAUCGGAAUUACUGGGCGUAAAGCGCACGCAGGCGGUCUGUCAAGUCGGAUGUGAAAUCCCCGGGCUCAACCUGGGAACUGCAUUCGAAACUGGCAGGCUUGAGUCUUGUAGAGGGGGGUAGAAUUCCAGGUGUAGCGGUGAAAUGCGUAGAGAUCUGGAGGAAUACCGGUGGCGAAGGCGGCCCCCUGGACAAAGACUGACGCUCAGGUGCGAAAGCGUGGGGAGCAAACAGGAUUAGAAACCCUGGUAGUCCCAUG